This 505-nucleotide ribosomal RNA is filed under the name uncultured Gammaproteobacteria bacterium. Its description in RNAcentral is "bacterial SSU rRNA". It matches the Rfam family "Bacterial small subunit ribosomal RNA", at positions 235 to 732 of the family's 1533-position model. Lineage: Bacteria; Pseudomonadati; Pseudomonadota; Gammaproteobacteria. The record is from RNAcentral.
GUCGGAUUAGCUAGUUGGUAGGGUAACGGCCUACCAAGGCGACGAUCCGUAGCUGGUCUGAGAGGACGAUCAGCCACACUGGGACUGAGACACGGCCCAGACUCCUACGGGAGGCAGCAGUGGGGAAUCUUGGACAAUGGGGGAAACCCUGAUCCAGCAAUGCCGCGUGUGUGAAGAAGGCCUUCGGGUUGUAAAGCACUUUCGAUAGGGAAGAAAAGCUGGGUGUGAAUAACAGCCAGUCUUGACGCUACCUAGAGAAGAAGCACCGGCUAACUCUGUGCCAGCAGCCGCGGUAAUACAGAGGGUGCAAGCGUUAAUCGGAAUUACUGGGCGUAAAGCGCGCGUAGGCGGUUCGAUAAGUCGGGUGUGAAAGCCCCGGGCUCAACCUGGGAAUGCCAUUCGAUACUGUCGAGCUAGAGUAUGGUAGAGGAAAGCGGAAUUCCACAUGUAGCGGUGAAAUGCGUAGAUAUGUGGAGGAACGUCAGUGGCGAAGGCGGCUUUCUGG